Molecule: ribosomal RNA, 348 nt
Filed under: Bradyrhizobium sp. 1.1
Lineage: Bacteria; Pseudomonadati; Pseudomonadota; Alphaproteobacteria; Hyphomicrobiales; Nitrobacteraceae
Also listed under: 24 other names
Description: bacterial LSU rRNA
Rfam family: Bacterial large subunit ribosomal RNA
Source: RNAcentral
CAAUCAAGUGCCUUAAGGGUGUUCGGUGGAUGCCUUGGCGCUGAGAGGCGAUGAAGGACGUGCUACGCUGCGAUAAGCCGUGGGGAGCUGCGAAGAAGCUUUGAUCCAUGGAUUUCCGAAUGGGGAAACCCACCUUCGAUAGCCGGAACUCCAAGACCUCAGUCGAAAGACUGUGGUGUGGGGUUCGAACAGAAAUGUGAGAUGCCUAGGCCUUUAGAUUUCGAUCGAAGAGGUUUUGGAUUUCCGGUUAUCAAAAGAAGGUAUGAGACUUCUGAAUACAUAGGAGGUUUCAAGCAAACCCAGGGAACUGAAACAUCUAAGUACCUGGAGGAAAGGACAUCAACAGAG